RNAcentral lists this ribosomal RNA (361 nucleotides) under uncultured organism. RNAcentral's name for it is "bacterial SSU rRNA". It matches the Rfam family "Bacterial small subunit ribosomal RNA", at positions 1066 to 1433 of the family's 1533-position model. The record is from RNAcentral.
CGUGAGAUGUUGGGUUAAGUCCCGCAACGAGCGCAACCCUUGUCAUUAGUUGCUACGAAAGGGCACUCUAAUGAGACUGCCGGUGACAAACCGGAGGAAGGUGGGGAUGACGUCAAGUCCUCAUGGCCCUUAUGGGUAGGGCUUCACACGUCAUACAAUGGUCGGUACAGAGGGUUGCCAAGCCGCGAGGUGGAGCCAAUCCCAGAAAACCGAUCGUAGUCCGGAUCGCAGUCUGCAACUCGACUGCGUGAAGUCGGAAUCGCUAGUAAUCGCGGAUCAGAAUGCCGCGGUGAAUACGUUCCCGGGUCUUGUACACACCGCCCGUCACACCAUGGGAGUGGGUUCUACCAGAAGUGGCUAG